AGAGUUUGAUCCUGGCUCAGGAUGAACGCUAGCGGCAGGCCUAAUACAUGCAAGUCGAACGAUACCAAUGGGCUUGCUCAUUGGGAAAGUGGCGCACGGGUGCGUAACGCGUAUGCAACCUACCUUAAUCAGGGGGAUAGCCCGAAGAAAUUCGGAUUAACACCGCAUAAAAACACAGUACAGCAUUGUACAAUGUUCAAAUAUUUAUAGGAUUAAGAUGGGCAUGCGUGUCAUUAGCUAGUUGGCGGGGUAACGGCCCACCAAGGCGACGAUGACUAGGGGAUCUGAGAGGAUGACCCCCCACACUGGUACUGAGACACGGACCAGACUCCUACGGGAGGCAGCAGUAAGGAAUAUUGGUCAAUGGAGGCAACUCUGAACCAGCCAUGCCGCGUGCAGGAAGACAGCCCUCUGGGUCGUAAACUGCUUUUAUUCGGGAAUAAACCACAUUACGUGUAAUGUGCUGAAUGUACCGAAGGAAUAAGGAUCGGCUAACUCCGUGCCAGCAGCCGCGGUAAUACGGAGGAUCCAAGCGUUAUCCGGAUUUAUUGGGUUUAAAGGGUGCGUAGGCGGCUUAUUAAGUCAGGGGUGAAAGACGGUGGCUCAACCAUCGCAGUGCCUUUGAUACUGAUGAGCUUGAAUACACUAGAGGUAGGCGGAAUGUGACAAGUAGCGGUGAAAUGCAUAGAUAUGUCACAGAACACCGAUUGCGAAGGCAGCUUACUAUGGUGUGAUUGACGCUGAGGCACGAAAGCGUGGGGAUCAAACAGGAUUAGAUACCCUGGUAGUCCACGCCCUAAACGAUGAAUACUCGCUGUUAGCGAUAUACAGUUAGCGGCUAAGCGAAAGCGUUAAGUAUUCCACCUGGGGAGUACGCCCGCAAGGGUGAAACUCAAAGGAAUUGACGGGGGCCCGCACAAGCGGAGGAGCAUGUGGUUUAAUUCGAUGAUACGCGAGGAACCUUACCCGGGCUUGAAAGUUAGUGAAUCAUUUAGAGAUAGAUGAGUCCGCAAGGACACGAAACUAGGUGCUGCAUGGCUGUCGUCAGCUCGUGCCGUGAGGUGUUGGGUUAAGUCCCGCAACGAGCGCAACCCCUAUGUUUAGUUGCCAGCACGUUAUGGUGGGGACUCUAAACAGACUGCCUGUGCAAACAGAGAGGAAGGAGGGGACGACGUCAAGCCAUCAUGGCCCUUACGUCCGGGGCUACACACGUGCUACAAUGGAUGGUACAGAGGGCAGCAAGCUGGCAACAGCAAGCGAAUCUCAGAAAGCCAUUCACAGUUCGGAUAGAGGUCUGCAACUCGACCUC
RNAcentral lists this ribosomal RNA (1309 nucleotides) under metagenome. RNAcentral's name for it is "bacterial SSU rRNA". It matches the Rfam family "Bacterial small subunit ribosomal RNA", at positions 8 to 1319 of the family's 1533-position model. The record is from RNAcentral.